This is a long non-coding RNA of Etheostoma spectabile (orangethroat darter), 87 nucleotides long. RefSeq lists it as uncharacterized. NCBI's taxonomy places the organism in Eukaryota, Metazoa, Chordata, Actinopteri, Perciformes, Percidae. The transcript is spliced from 3 exons. The record is from RefSeq and is a predicted model, not a curated record.
AUCUCUUCUGUGAGCAGGGGCGCCGUACGGGGAAAAGUUAGGACAAUUCCAAGGGCCCAUGACUGACAGGGGCCCCAAAAAAUAGGU